AUCACACUCUGGUCACCACAGCGAUGGCUUCACCGUGGAAACGCUGCUGCUGCUGCUUCCUCGUCCUCCUUCAUCUGCAGUCGUCGGCCUGCCUCCACCAACAACCUGCAGACAGUUCCAGCCAUGCUGCUGUGUUUCUGGUAACCUGGACUGUCUUCAUCAUUUACAUACAGUUCUGUGAAAUGAUUCAUUUUAUUUGGAAAACAGAUGAACAAGCUGAUCUGUUGUCACCAUUUACAGUCUAAGUAGGUGUCUACAGAGCGUUAUUAUCAUCCUGAUGUAUUUGUGUUUGUGUCGACCUCAAUAAUCUAUACCUGAUGUUCACUUGGCUUUUAGUUCCACCUGAGAAAAUGCUACCUGCUAGAAACAAUGCAUGUGAGUGGACACUUCGCCAAAAAAUCUAAACUAAAACCCGAAAGAGGUUAAAAGUGGAUGAGAAUUCCAUGUAGACCUGUUAAACCAGAGUUAACAAAAGACUGAACAGUACACCUGUAUUUGCUGGCCUCACGAUUUGCAUCCACUGAACAGUUGGUACUAUUUUUUUUCUUGAAACUUUGUAGAAAUACUUGCAUUUUAUUGAAAACCAAGCGAUGGAUGGCAAAAGAGACAGCAGCAGUUGAUUAUUUUGACCACUGAAUGUGUUGACAUUUUAGUGUUUACUGCUACACGCUCUGAGAAUUGUUGCUCAUAUAUUUCAACUACUUUCAUUUUUGAUCACUGUCUAAUCCAUUUUUUAGUUAAAUUUAAAUUUCCUUGAACACUGGAACCAACAAACAACAACAAGAACAAUGAACAAAACACAAAGUGCUGCAACAUGUCACUAAUAUUUGCACUAGGCUAGUUGUUGUCAGAGGAACUGUCACCAGUGAAAAUUAUAUUAAAUUAUCGUGGUUGAAAUGUCAGUGCUGAGCACAGUUACAUGCACUAUUUUUUUCUUUGGUAUUGCUAAUGUAACUCACUGGAUUGCAAAGAAUGUGGAAUCUGCUCUGAAAUGCAAAGAAAAAUAUUGCACCUGCUACUAAAAAUGGAUGCUGUUACAUGAUUUUUUUUUUUGAUUUGAUGAUUCUGAGAUCCACAAAUAUUCUUUUUUCUCUUUAAACAUCUCAAAACAUUUUAAAUGAAAAUAAAAUGCAUUUGAUUGACAGCAAUUCUACCGAAUCAAAUCAAGUUGUACAACAGAUGUGUAUACUCUACAACAUGUGGGAUCCUAAUCUUCUCUGUAAGAUUUUGCAGCUACUGUUUUUGAUUCGAAGGCCAUAUGGAGGAUUGUGCUAUUGUCAUACCAGAGGUGCACUUACUCACAAUCCUCCAUUUUCAGUGUAAAUCAAAAGGAAGAAAAAGGCCAUUAUCCAAAGAUCAUCAUUGAAUACAAAAGAUAAAAUGAGUUAAAUUGCCAUUUACAAAACCUAAGAUGAGGAGUCCAGGUUUUGUCACCUCCUCAGGUCCUCAGUCUUGCAGUCUGAACCCAGUUACCUCUCUGCUACACCCACCUCACCUGCUCCCGUUCUCCCUACCAGCUCAACUUCAUAUACUCCAGCCAUCGUACCUUUGUUUGCUGCCUCACUCCUGUAAACAUCAGAAGUGCUGGGAUUCUCUGAUCUUACUAUAUAAAGUACUCUGAGAUGACUUGAAUUGGAUCCUGGUUCCUGCAAUAAUAUUUGUUUAUGUUGUCUGUUCUCUGCCUGUCUUUCUACCAACCUGUCAGACUAUUUUUACCUGUCUGCUGGGUGAGUCUGCACUCAGGUCCUCCUCUCUGCUUUUGUGACACAACUAAAUCCAAUCAAAGAGCCCACAAAAUAGCAAAUUUAGCAUCCCUACAGUGCUUACCUGUAUGUUCGAGAUUUGAAUUGAUGUUUUUAAUGAUUGCCUGUCUGCCUCGAUGCAGCUUUUAAUUAUCUGUCAGACCUCUGCUAGCACUGUGCCUAUGAAGAGCAUUCAAGUCUUUAAUGAAAAAUAAGUGAUUGCAUAGAUUUUCACCACCUUUCAGUCAGUUAGUGCUAGAAGUCUCAAAGUUAGUGAAAUGGAAUUCAUCUGAGUGCAGUGAAUGUGGCCCAAGUGAUUGCAGUAUAAAGACAGCUGUACAUGGAAGGUCCAGUCACUGAUAAAUCAGUACUUCUCACUAUGACUACAUCAUGAAAACAACCCCUCCAAGCAACUCUGUGAAAAGAUUAUUGCAAAUCAAAAGUCAAGAGAUGGAGAAAAGAAAAUUUCCAGGUCACCAAAUAUUCCUUAGAGUACAGUUAAACCCAUAAUUUAGAAAUAGAAGGAAUAUGGCACAUGUGUAAAUGUGCCUAAAGCAGGUCGUCCUCAAAAACUGAGUGACUGAACAAGAAAGAAGCGAGUGCAGGAGGCCACCAAGACACCUGUGACUCUUCUGAAGGAGUUACAAGCUUCAGUGGCUGAUGUGAGAGACUGUGUAUACAGCAACUGUUGUCUCUUUUUCAACAGUCAAAGAUUUAUGGAUGAGUGACAAAGCAAAAAUCACCAAGAUCAUAUAAAAUCUGGGCUAGAGGUCUCCAGAAGGCAUAUGAGAGACUCUUAAAUCAACAGGAAGAACGUUCGUUGGCCUGAUGAUGAUGACCAAAACUGAGCUUUUUAGGCAUCAGACUAGACUCAUCAUUUGGUAGACACCAAACACUACACAUCAUCACAAACACAACAUCCCCACCAUGAAGCACGGUGGUGGCAGCAUCAUGAUGUGGGCAUACUUCCCAGCAGCAGACCCUGGAAGGCUUGUAAAGGUAGAGAGUAAAAUGAAUGCAGCAAAGUGUAGGGAAACCUGAUUCAGUCUGCAAGAGAACUGUGACUUAGGAAGGAGAAGGUCUGUUUUCGACAAGACAAUGACCUGAAGCAUACAGAUAAACUACAUAGAAAUGCUUUAAAGACAACAAGGGGAAUGGUUUGGAGUCAAUUCAACUGAGAAUCUGUGGCUGGACUUUAAAAGGGUUGCUCACUCCUGAUCCCUGUGAUACCUGACAGAGCUUGAACAGUUUUGCAAAGAAGAAUUAAGUAAAUAUGCAGCAUCCAGACUCAGAUUCAGGUUGAUUUAUGUCUAUACACACAGGCACGAUGCUGGACUUGCCCCUAAGGGUGCAUCUACUAAAUACUGACUUGAAGGGGGUGAAUAUUUAUGCAAUGGCAUAUUUUGCUCCUUUUUUAAUGUUUUAAUUAAUUGAUAUUACUUUGUAGAACUCUGUUUUCAGUUUAACAUGAAUCAAUUGAACAACCUGCUUUAUGAGAUCAGACAGGCAGCUGUUUUUUUUAAAUAUCUGUUCAAACCCAACUUUUCAGAGUUAUUUCUGUUUUUACUCUGCUUUUAUUAAUUUAUGUCUGAUUGUUACUAUUUUCUUUCUAGUGAAAUUGCAGGCGUUGGAAGUCUAGAUUUGAAGUCUAACUAGGUUUGAGCAAAAUUGUACAGCGUUUCUGUUUUCGUUCUGCAAUAGAGAUCUCCGAAAGGAUGAUGAUGUUGCUGUGUCUGCUGGAUGUGUACAUUACACAGGCGACUGUUUGUGGUGUGAGUGUGUGUGUGUGUGUGUGUGUGUGUG
Long non-coding RNA from Amphiprion ocellaris (clown anemonefish), 3545 nucleotides. Lineage: Eukaryota; Metazoa; Chordata; Actinopteri; Pomacentridae. The record is from Ensembl.